This 2234-nucleotide long non-coding RNA is filed under the name Felis catus (domestic cat). Its description in RNAcentral is "lncRNA (ENSFCAG00000044040.2)". The record is from RNAcentral. Lineage: Eukaryota; Metazoa; Chordata; Mammalia; Carnivora; Felidae.
UGCUUGGCAGGAAUCUUCUGGAGAGGCAUGAAGCACUACUUUAAUUCCCAAGGAUGCCGCUUGGUCCUCAGAAUGGAAAAUGUUCUAUUUUUGGCCACCAGAAUAUUUCCGAGGGGAGAAAAAAAAUCGAACAAAGCACGGCAGCAUGGGUGUACGUUUUCGGAGUUUGAAGAAGUUUUAAGAGUUCAAGACACCUUUCCAGGAAACAGCUCUUGCUGCCACGCCCCCGCUGGCCGCCGUGUGACAUCCUCGCUUCGAGGGACCCGAAGGGCAGACCAGCAUUAGUCGAGCAGUAACGCCUGGGGGACUAGGACCCGGCCUUGGACACAUCUCGGCGCGGGAGGCGCGGCUGGGCCCAGGGGCUCAUGGGAGAAUCUUGAAGGGGCCGGGGCGUUUUGCAGAAGUGGCGGGCGUGCCUGGGAAGAGCCAUCACAGAACUCGUGGAGCCGAAAGCCCCUGGAAGCAGAGCUGUGCCCUCCGGCUCCGACCUGCCGGUAGAGGGGACCCAAGUUAGCCGAUGCCCUGAAGCGAGCGGGGUGGCCCGGGCCCUUCCCUCCCCGCCCCGCCCCGCCGUUGAAAUGGCUUGAACUCCCGCUGGUGUUUCCAUCAUCCACUUCACGCCCAGGCCUCGGGUGCAGAGGCGGCCGUGGAUCUGGGUAACGUUGAAUCCUCGGUGGGAGGCUCUGAGAUGCCGUCUGCGGGCUCUCAGAGUUUUCGUCUUGGCUGCGGGCUUUCGAGAUGCGUUCGAGAUUGAGGAGCUGGCAUCGCGCUGGGUCAGACGUCCAUGCAGACGGUGCGGGGAACCUUUACUCGGAGCCAGCUGGAUUUCUCCUGCCUUCACACUCACUAAUUCAACACGCACGUCCCAAGCGCCCAGUCUGUGCCAGGCACGCAGGCGAACCCAAGUCUCUGCCGAUGUAGUGCUCGCGGUGGGCCGGGAGAGAACAACACACGCCUACGGUCACAUUCUGGAGGUUCCGGGCAGGCAAAGAAGGGGGUCCUGAGAGAUAGAAAAACGGCAGGCAUCCUUUAGAAGGGAUGGGUAAGGAUGACCAUCAUGGGAGGGAGAGAUUGAAGUUAAAAUCAAAGGAAGAAGCUAGUCACGUGAAGAAAGGGGGGUGAGGGUGAGCUUUUCUGGCAGAAGAAAGAGCAAGUGCAAAGGCCCUGAGGUCAGAAUGCUAAGCACGUCUGAAGAGGCUCACUUUGACGCCUGAGAUGAGCCGGGGCAAAGUGAGUGAGGGGGUGAAAGGCUUGAGGUGAACUUGGGGAGUUAGCCGUUGGGCUGGGUCGCAGAGCACCUUGUAGGGCCGGAAAGGGGCUUAAGUGUUAUCCUCGCCAGUGCUGGGAAGCCACGGGAGAGCUUGAAGCAGGGGCGUGAGAUGAUCUCCCUUCGGUUUUGACAGAACACCAGCCGCCAUGAGGUGAACGGCUGGAGACAACAGGAAAGACGGAAGCUUUAGAAGCCUCUGGCUGAUGUCCGCGCAGGAGGUGACGGUGGCCUCGCCUGGGGAAUGGCGGCAGCUCCUCCUGUCUGUGUUCAUUCUGGUCUCCUCCCGGGUCUUGCCCCACCACCGCUUCCUGAGGGGAAAGCUGGCCUUCCUUUACCAGCGCCUCAUGGGGGACAUGGCUUUAGACUUGUGCAAAGUGCUUUAAGUAAACCGCGCAUCUGGUUGUUGUGCAGAAGUUUCAGGAAGCUCCUCAGAGAGCCAGGUUCUUGGAUUCCCAGCCCAGGGCUCUCGCCUUCUCCACACCACUUGCCCCACUGAACUUUUGCUUUUAUACUAUCACUCCGGCUCACGCACUGAGUUAACAAAUAAUUUUCAGAAAGGUGAAAUUUUGACUUUCAGAGAAAUGUAACAGGAACACAGGCAACGAGUUUAUUUCACUCGCUGUUUGAUGAAGGAACCAGUAACAUGUUAUGACCUGUCCAAAAACUACCAAAGAAAUGAGGAUAUUUCCAGGCAAUUUAUUUAUUUAUUUAUUUAAAGUUUACUUACGUGUUUUGAGAGACAGAAAGUGAGCAGGGGAGGUGCAGACACAGAGAGGGGGAGACAGAGCCCCAAACAGGCUCCCUGCUGUCAGCACAGAGCCUGACACGGGGCUUGAUCCCACGGACUGCGAGAUCAUGACCUGAGCCGAAACCAAGAGUCGGAUGCUUGCCUGACUGAGCCACCCGGGUGCCCCUGUUUACAGGCAAUUUAAUAAAGAAAGGUAGGGAUAGGAUUUGAGUUACA